CCUACGGGCGGCAGCAGUGAGGAAUAUUGGUCAAUGGCCGAGAGGCUGAACCAGCCAAGUCGCGUGAGGGAAGACGGCCCUACGGGUUGUAAACCUCUUUUGUCGGGGAGCAAAGAGAGUCACGUGUGACUCAUUGAGAGUACCCGAAGCAAAAGCAUCGGCUAACUCCGUGCCAGCAGCCGCGGUAAUACGGAGGAUGCGAGCGUUAUCCGGAUUUAUUGGGUUUAAAGGGUGCGCAGGCGGAGGUGCAAGUCAGCGGUCAAAUUGCGGGGCUCAACCCCGUACUGCCGUUGAAACUGCAUCCCUUGAGUGCGCGAGAAGUAUGCGGAAUGCGUGGUGUAGCGGUGAAAUGCGUAGAUAGUAGGAGGAACACCGGUGGCGAAGGCGGCCUGCUGGACUGUGACUGACGUUGAGGCCCGAAGGCGUGGGGAGCAAACAGGAUUAGAUACCCUUGUAGUC
RNAcentral lists this ribosomal RNA (459 nucleotides) under uncultured bacterium. Its description in RNAcentral is "partial 16S ribosomal RNA". It matches the Rfam family "Bacterial small subunit ribosomal RNA", at positions 338 to 795 of the family's 1533-position model. The record is from RNAcentral.